RNAcentral lists this ribosomal RNA (465 nucleotides) under uncultured bacterium. Its description in RNAcentral is "partial 16S ribosomal RNA". It matches the Rfam family "Bacterial small subunit ribosomal RNA", at positions 28 to 507 of the family's 1533-position model. The record is from RNAcentral.
GAUGAACGCUGGCGGCGUGCUUAACACAUGCAAGUCGAACGAUGAAGCCCAGCUUGCUGGGUGGAUUAGUGGCGAACGGGUGAGUAACACGUGAGUAACCUGCCCUUAACUCUGGGAUAAGCCUGGGAAACUGGGUCUAAUACCGGAUAGGAGCGUCCACCGCAUGGUGGGUGUUGGAAAGAUUUAUCGGUUUUGGAUGGACUCGCGGCCUAUCAGCUUGUUGGUGAGGUAAUGGCUCACCAAGGCGACGACGGGUAGCCGGCCUGAGAGGUGAACGGCCACACUGGGACUGAGACACGGCCCAGACUCCUACGGGAGGCAGCAGUGGGGAAUAUUGCACAAUGGGCGCAAGCCUGAUGCAGCGACGCCGCGUGAGGGAUGACGGCCUUCGGGUUGUAAACCUCUUUCAGUAGGGAAGAAGCGAAAGUGACGGUACCUGCAGAAGAAGCACCGGCUAACUACGUG